This is a non-coding RNA of Pantherophis guttatus, 310 nucleotides long. NCBI's taxonomy places the organism in Eukaryota, Metazoa, Chordata, Lepidosauria, Squamata, Colubridae. The record is from RefSeq and is a predicted model, not a curated record.
GAAUUGAUAUAAUUAGAAAAGUUACCUUGGCUUAAUCUAUAGCCGUUUUCAAGCAUACAAGUGAGAUCUAUCUCUGCAAGGUUUUUCCUCCAUGAAUGCUACUUGCAAAUCAGGUAUUCUGCAGACGUUUAGGAGUCCCAGAUUCCUACAUGAUACAGUCAUUCUGAAAUUGUAUUUGUGUUCAGUUUGAAGGGGUCUAUCAUAAUCACCCAACGUUUUUCAUGGUUAAAAUGCAGCAUUGCAGACCAAACUCUUGCCACAGCGUGGAGUUCGAUCUUGGCGGGGCUCAAAUUUGACUCAGCCUUCCACC